CCUACGGGAGGCUGCAGUGAGGAAUAUUGGUCAAUGGGCGCGAGCCUGAACCAGCCAAGUAGCGUGAAGGAUGACUGCCCUACGGGUUGUAAACUUCUUUUAUAAAGGAAUAAAGUGAGGCACGUGUGCCGUUUUGUAGGUACUUUAUGAAUAAGGAUCGGCUAACUCCGUGCCAGCAGCCGCGGUAAUACGGAGGAUCCGAGCGUUAUCCGGAUUUAUUGGGUUUAAAGGGAGCGUAGGUGGGUUGUUAAGUCAGUUGUGAAAGUUUGCGGCUCAACCGUAAAAUUGCAGUUGAAACUGGCAUGCUUGAGUACAGGAGAGGUGGGCGGAAUUCGUGGUGUAGCGGUGAAAUGCUUAGAUAUCACGAAGAACUCCGAUUGCGAAGGCAGCUCACGGCACUGCAACUGACACUGAGGCUCGAAAGUGUGGGUAUCAAACAGGAUUAGAUACCCGUGUAGUC
Molecule: ribosomal RNA, 460 nt
Filed under: uncultured bacterium
Lineage: Bacteria
Description: partial 16S ribosomal RNA
Rfam family: Bacterial small subunit ribosomal RNA
Source: RNAcentral